This 345-nucleotide unclassified non-coding RNA is filed under the name soil metagenome. RNAcentral describes it as "partial contains 5.8S ribosomal RNA, internal transcribed spacer 2, and large subunit ribosomal RNA". The stretch from base 1 to 120 matches the Rfam family "5.8S ribosomal RNA", at positions 35 to 154 of the family's 154-position model. The record is from RNAcentral.
GAUGAAGAACGUAGCGAAAUGCGAUAAGUAAUGUGAAUUGCAGAAUUCCGUGAAUCAUCGAAUCUUUGAACGCAUAUUGCGCCCUUUGGUAUUCCGAAGGGCAUGCCUGUUCGAGCGUCAUUAUCACCCCUCAAGCCCCGGCUUGGUGUUGGACUUAGUUACGGAUCACCAUAACUGGCCUCAAAGAUAGUGGCGGCGCCCCAGAGGGAACCGGUACGAGGAGCUUCCAGUUAAGCAUGUACGCGGGACGACUUUGCGGGCGACGGGUCUUUUUCAUUUCUCAAGUGUUGACCUCGGAUCAGGUAGGAAUACCCGCUGAACUUAAGCAUAUCAAUAAGCGGAGGA